UGGGGAAUCUUGCGCAAUGGGCGAAAGCCUGACGCAGCGACGCCGCGUGGGUGAUGAAGGCCUUCGGGUUGUAAAGCCCUGUGGGGAGGGAAGAAUAGGCGCCGGACAAUACCCGGCGUGAUGACGGUACCUCCUUAGCAAGCACCGGCUAACUCUGUGCCAGCAGCCGCGGUAAGACAGAGGGAGCGAACGUUGUUCGGAAUUACUGGGCGUAAAGCGCGUGUAGGCGGUCUUGCAAGUCGGGCGUGAAAGCCCUGGGCUCAACCGAGGAAGUGCGCUCGAAACGGCAAGACUGGAGUGCCGGAGAGGAUGGUGGAAUUCUCGGUGUAGAGGUGAAAUUCGUAGAUAUCGAGAGGAACACCGGUGGCGAAGGCGGCCAUCUGGACGGAAACUGACGCUGAGACGCGAAAGCGUGGGUAGCAAACA
RNAcentral lists this ribosomal RNA (426 nucleotides) under uncultured prokaryote. Its description in RNAcentral is "bacterial SSU rRNA". It matches the Rfam family "Bacterial small subunit ribosomal RNA", at positions 355 to 774 of the family's 1533-position model. The record is from RNAcentral.